CCUACGGGAGGCAGCAGUGGGGAAUUUUGGACAAUGGGCGCAAGCCUGAUCCAGCAAUGCCGCGUGAGUGAAGAAGGCCUUCGGGUUGUAAAGCUCUUUUGUCAGGGAAGAAACGGUGGUUCCUAAUACGGACUACUAAUGACGGUACCUGAAGAAUAAGCACCGGCUAACUACGUGCCAGCAGCCGCGGUAAUACGUAGGGUGCAAGCGUUAAUCGGAAUUACUGGGCGUAAAGCGUGCGCAGGCGGUUAUAUAAGUCAGAUGUGAAAUCCCCGGGCUCAACCUGGGAACUGCAUUUGAGACUGUAUGGCUAGAGUGUGUCAGAGGGGGGUAGAAUUCCACGUGUAGCAGUGAAAUGCGUAGAUAUGUGGAGGAAUACCGAUGGCGAAGGCAGCCCCCUGGGAUAACACUGACGCUCAUGCACGAAAGCGUAGGGGAGCAAACAGGAUUAGAUACCCUGGUAGUCCACGCCCUAAACGAUGUCUACUAGUUGUCGGGACUUAAUUGUCUUGGUAACGCAGCUAACGCGUGAAGUAGACCGCCUGGGGAGUACGGUCGCAAGNUUAAAACGUUAAUGAAUUGACCGG
This 587-nucleotide ribosomal RNA is filed under the name uncultured bacterium. RNAcentral describes it as "bacterial SSU rRNA". It matches the Rfam family "Bacterial small subunit ribosomal RNA", at positions 338 to 917 of the family's 1533-position model. The record is from RNAcentral.